AAUUUCUCUCUUCUCGUUGAUUUAACUCGAUUUAUCUUAGAAGAUUUGAAAAGUUAUGGACUCCCUUGCUUCUCAUCUGAACCGUGCAGUUCCUACUAGAUCCGAGUUGCUUGGUCGUGUUUAUAAGAUAAAUAAAAGGGAUUGGAAAUCUGCCUCUUCUUCAUCUCUUCUCCUGGCUCCUUACUGCUCCUAUUGUGACUCUCACCUCAGAAGCUCGGGCGCUUCCUCAGCAUCGUCAAGCUAGUCGAAUUCCAGUACCCAGCCAAGUGACACCCACUGGCCCACCCACUUGGUCAUUGGGCUGUCGGAUCCACAUGUUUCUCGUCAAACACGCAAGCAACCAAUUUCUCUCUUCUCGUUGAUUUCACUCGGUUUAUCUUAGAAGAUUUGAAAAGUUAUGGACUCCCUUGCUUCUCAUCCGAACCGUGCAGUUCCUACUAGAACCGAGUUGCUUGCUCAUGUUUAUAAAAUAAAUAAAAGGGAUUGGAGAUCUGCCGCUCCUCUGUCUCCUCCCUGGCUUCCUGCUGCUCCUAUAUUGUGGUAAAAGAAAAAAUACACAAAUUCAUCUCUUAAUUCGAUAUAUUCUCUUCCCAUUGAUUUCCCUCGAUUUAAUUACCAUAAUACCCCAAAGAAAAAAUCUUCAAACCCCUUCUUCUCAUCUCAACU
This is a long non-coding RNA of Panicum virgatum (switchgrass), 666 nucleotides long. RefSeq lists it as uncharacterized. Lineage: Eukaryota; Viridiplantae; Streptophyta; Magnoliopsida; Poales; Poaceae. The record is from RefSeq and is a predicted model, not a curated record. The transcript has 4 exons.